Tachyglossus aculeatus (Australian echidna) is the source of this 144-nucleotide small nucleolar RNA. RefSeq annotates it as small nucleolar RNA SNORA79. The record is from RefSeq and is a predicted model, not a curated record. NCBI's taxonomy places the organism in Eukaryota, Metazoa, Chordata, Mammalia, Monotremata, Tachyglossidae. The transcript has a single exon.
UGAUGGCUGUUCCUCCUGCUGUCUGGAGCUGUGGCAGUGGGAUUUUAGUCCAUCACAGAGAAAAGUGGCCUGUCUUCACUCGGGGCACCAUGAGAUGGGUCGGCCAUCUAUUCGUGCCUCCGAACUUUGCGGGGUCAGACAAGC